GCUGCUCGAAAAUGGCAUACCUCUACGGGGUGAGCAGUAGGCAACGUAAUGGCUAUUACGGCAGAAUUGCCUUA
Molecule: ribozyme, 74 nt
Filed under: unclassified sequences
Description: HDV ribozyme from F. prausnitzii
Rfam family: HDV ribozyme from F. prausnitzii
Source: RNAcentral